This 1340-nucleotide ribosomal RNA is filed under the name uncultured bacterium. RNAcentral describes it as "bacterial SSU rRNA". It matches the Rfam family "Bacterial small subunit ribosomal RNA", at positions 28 to 1381 of the family's 1533-position model. The record is from RNAcentral.
GACGAACGCUGGCGGCGUGCUUAACACAUGCAAGUCGAACGGUAAGGCCCUUCGGGGUACACGAGUGGCGAACGGGUGAGUAACACGUGGGUGAUCUGCCCUACACUUUGGGAUAAGCCUGGGAAACUGGGUCUAAUACCGAAUACACCCUGCUGGUCGCAUGGCCUGGUGGGGGAAAGCUUUUGCGGUGUGGGAUGGGCCCGCGGCCUAUCAGCUUGUUGGUGGGGUGAUGGCCUACCAAGGCGACGACGGGUAGCCGGCCUGAGAGGGUGUCCGGCCACACUGGGACUGAGAUACGGCCCAGACUCCUACGGGAGGCAGCAGUGGGGAAUAUUGCACAAUGGGCGCAAGCCUGAUGCAGCGACGCCGCGUGAGGGAUGACGGCCUUCGGGUUGUAAACCUCUUUCAAUAGGGACGAAGCGCAAGUGACGGUACCUAUAGAAGAAGCACCGGCCAACUACGUGCCAGCAGCCGCGGUAAUACGUAGGGUGCGAGCGUUGUCCGGAAUUACUGGGCGUAAAGAGCUCGUAGGUGGUUUGUCGCGUUGUUCGUGAAAACUCACAGCUUAACUGUGGGCGUGCGGGCGAUACGGGCAGGCUGGAGUACUGCAGGGGAGACUGGAAUUCCUGGUGUAGCGGUGGAAUGCGCAGAUAUCAGGAGGAACACCGGUGGCGAAGGCGGGUCUCUGGGCAGUAACUGACGCUGAGGAGCGAAAGCGUGGGGAGCGAACAGGAUUAGAUACCCUGGUAGUCCACGCCGUAAACGGUGGGUACUAGGUGUGGGUUUCCUUCCUUGGGAUCCGUGCCGUAGCUAACGCAUUAAGUACCCCGCCUGGGGAGUACGGCCGCAAGGCUAAAACUCAAAGAAAUUGACGGGGGCCCGCACAAGCGGCGGAGCAUGUGGAUUAAUUCGAUGCAACGCGAAGAACCUUACCUGGGUUUGACAUGCACAGGACGCCGGCAGAGAUGUCGGUUCCCUUGUGGCCUGUGUGCAGGUGGUGCAUGGCUGUCGUCAGCUCGUGUCGUGAGAUGUUGGGUUAAGUCCCGCAACGAGCGCAACCCUUGUCUCAUGUUGCCAGCACGUUAUGGUGGGGACUCGUGAGAGACUGCCGGGGUCAACUCGGAGGAAGGUGGGGAUGACGUCAAGCCAUCAUGCCCCUUAUGUCCAGGGCUUCACACAUGCUACAAUGGCCGGUACAAAGGGCUGCGAUGCCGUGAGGUGGAGCGAAUCCUUUCAAAGCCGGUCUCAGUUCGGAUCGGGGUCUGCAACUCGACCCCGUGAAGUCGGAGUCGCUAGUAAUCGCAGAUCAGCAACGCUGCGGUGAAUACGUUCCCGGGCCU